RNAcentral lists this long non-coding RNA (228 nucleotides) under Lathyrus oleraceus (garden pea). RNAcentral's name for it is "Pisum sativum (pea) long non-coding RNA (PSAT_LNC003130)". Lineage: Eukaryota; Viridiplantae; Streptophyta; Magnoliopsida; Fabales; Fabaceae. The record is from RNAcentral.
CCAUUCCUUUUUUUCUUUUUUGUUGCAUUAAAUGUUGAUGGUGAGCCAUUUUCUUCUUCAAAUUUCAUUGCAUGCAUAUGACUUGAAGUAGAUUGAAAUUGACUAUGAACAUGACUUAGAUUUGUAAAUGGCAUGACUUAGAUUUGUAAAUGGAAUGAGCAUAUUAACAUGGUUUAUGAACAUAGCUAUGACUUGGUGAAACAAGGCUAAGGUCAAGAUACAAUAGGC